CGAAUGCUGACAUAAGUAACGAUAAAGCGGGUGAAAAGCCCGCUCGCCGGAAGACCAAGGGUUCCUGUCCAACGUUAAUCGGGGCAGGGUGAGUCGACCCCUAAGGCGAGGCCGAAAGGCGUAGUCGAUGGGAAACAGGUUAAUAUUCCUGUACUUGGUGUUACUGCGAAGGGGGGACGGAGAAGGCUAUGUUGGCCGGGCGACGGUUGUCCCGGUUUAAGCGUGUAGGCUGGUUUUCCAGGCAAAUCCGGAAAAUCAAGGCUGAGGCGUGAUGACGAGGCACUACGGUGCUGAAGCAACAAAUGCCCUGCUUCCAGGAAAAGCCUCUAAGCAUCAGGUAACAUCAAAUCGUACCCCAAACCGACACAGGUGGUCAGGUAGAGAAUACCAAGGCGCUUGAGAGAACUCGGGUGAAGGAACUAGGCAAAAUGGUGCCGUAACUUCGGGAGAAGGCACGCUGAUAUGUAGGUGAAGUCCCUCGCGGAUGGAGCUGAAAUCAGUCGAAGAUACCAGCUGGCUGCAACUGUUUAUUAAAAACACAGCACUGUGCAAACACGAAAGUGGACGUAUACGGUGUGACGCCUGCCCGGUGCCGGAAGGUUAAUUGAUGGGGUUAGCGCAAGCGAAGCUCUUGAUCGAAGCCCCGGUAAACGGCGGCCGUAACUAUAACGGUCCUAAGGUAGCGAAAUUCCUUGUCGGGUAAGUUCCGACCUGCACGAAUGGCGUAAUGAUGGCCAGGCUGUCUCCACCCGAGACUCAGUGAAAUUGAACUCGCUGUGAAGAUGCAGUGUACCCGCGGCAAGACGGAAAGACCCCGUGAACCUUUACUAUAGCUUGACACUGAACAUUGAGCCUUGAUGUGUAGGAUAGGUGGGAGGCUUUGAAGUGUGGACGCCAGUCUGCAUGGAGCCGACCUUGAAAUACCACCCUUUAAUGUUUGAUGUUCUAACGUUGACCCGUGAUCCGGGUUGCGGACAGUGUCUGGUGGGUAGUUUGACUGGGGCGGUCUCCUCCUAAAGAGUAACGGAGGAGCACGAAGGUUGGCUAAUCCUGGUCGGACAUCAGGAGGUUAGUGCAAUGGCAUAAGCCAGCUUGACUGCGAGCGUGACGGCGCGAGCAGGUGCGAAAGCAGGUCAUAGUGAUCCGGUGGUUCUGAAUGGAAGGGCCAUCGCUCAACGGAUAAAAGGUACUCCGGGGAUAACAGGCUGAUACCGCCCAAGAGUUCAUAUCGACGGCGGUGUUUGGCACCUCGAUGUCGGCUCAUCACAUCCUGGGGCUGAAGUAGGUCCCAAGGGUAUGGCUGUUCGCCAUUUAAAGUGGUACGCGAGCUGGGUUUAGAACGUCGUGAGACAGUUCGGUCCCUAUCUGCCGUGGGCGCUGGAGAACUGAGGGGGGCUGCUCCUAGUACGAGAGGACCGGAGUGGACGCAUCACUGGUGUUCGGGUUGUCAUGCCAAUGGCACUGCCCGGUAGCUAAAUGCGGAAGAGAUAAGUGCUGAAAGCAUCUAAGCACGAAACUUGCCCCGAGAUGAGUUCUCCCUGACCCUUUAAGGGUCCUGAAGGAA
This 1564-nucleotide ribosomal RNA is filed under the name Escherichia coli. Its description in RNAcentral is "partial 23S ribosomal RNA". It matches the Rfam family "Bacterial large subunit ribosomal RNA", at positions 1291 to 2845 of the family's 2925-position model. The record is from RNAcentral. Lineage: Bacteria; Pseudomonadati; Pseudomonadota; Gammaproteobacteria; Enterobacterales; Enterobacteriaceae.